RNAcentral lists this unclassified non-coding RNA (248 nucleotides) under Hevea brasiliensis (rubber tree). The record is from RNAcentral. Lineage: Eukaryota; Viridiplantae; Streptophyta; Magnoliopsida; Malpighiales; Euphorbiaceae.
UCAACCUUGCACUUCCCCGUCCGACCCAAAUACUUAACAAAUUCUGUCAAGGUAGCCCACUGCGUGGAGUUCAUAUGUACGUGAUGCCUGUCGUGGAUAUAUUCAUUGUAAACGACGGUAGCAGCCACCCGCGAGAACCGGUGGCUCCGCCGCAUGAGGUCGAGGAACGUGUUCUCGAACUCGUCGGAGUAACCUUCGACGAUGCGGUGAGGGUUUUGACCAAAGAUUUGCAUCUGACGCUGGUGGCU